This 458-nucleotide ribosomal RNA is filed under the name uncultured bacterium. RNAcentral's name for it is "partial 16S ribosomal RNA". It matches the Rfam family "Bacterial small subunit ribosomal RNA", at positions 338 to 795 of the family's 1533-position model. The record is from RNAcentral.
CCUACGGGUGGCAGCAGUGAGGAAUAUUGGUCAAUGGCCGGAAGGCUGAACCAGCCAUGCCGCGUGAAGGUCAGUGCCCUAUGGGCGUUAAACUUCUUUUGUGCGGGAGCAAUAAUGGUCACGUGUGGCCAGACGAGAGUACCGUACGAUUAAGCAUCGGCUAACUCCGUGCCAGCAGCCGCGGUAAUACGGGGGAUGCAAGCGUUAUCCGGAUUUAUGGGGUUUAAAGGGUGCGCAGGCGGAGGUGCAAGUCAGCGGGCAAAUUGCGGGGCUCAACCCCGUACUGCCGUUGAAACUGCAUAACUUGAGUGCGCGAGAAGUAUGCGGAAUGCGUGGUGUAGCGGUGAAAUGCAUAGAUAUCACGAAGAACUCCGAUGGCGAAGGCAGCAUACCGGCGCGCAACUGACGCUCAUGCACGAAAGCGUGGGUAUCGAACAGGAUUAGAUACCCCAGUAGUC